RNAcentral lists this transfer RNA (57 nucleotides) under Methanosarcina lacustris Z-7289. Its description in RNAcentral is "tRNA-Ser (CGA) (tRNA-Ser-CGA-2-1)". It matches the Rfam family "tRNA", at positions 15 to 71 of the family's 71-position model. Rfam says of the family: Transfer RNA (tRNA) molecules are approximately 80 nucleotides in length. Lineage: Archaea; Methanobacteriati; Methanobacteriota; Methanomicrobia; Methanosarcinales; Methanosarcinaceae. The record is from RNAcentral.
GGGUUUAAAGUCGCCUUCACACGGCGGAGGUCCUGAGUUCGAAUCUCAGCGGGCCCA